GACGAACGCUGGCGGCGUGCUUAACACAUGCAAGUCGAACGGAAAGGCCCUGCUUGCAGGGUACUCGAGUGGCGAACGGGUGAGUAACACGUGGGUGAUCUGCCCUGCACUUCGGGAUAAGCCUGGGAAACUGGGUCUAAUACCGGAUAGGAGCCAUUUUUAGUGUGAUGGUUGGAAAGUUUUUUCGGUGUAGGAUGAGCUCGCGGCCUAUCAGCUUGUUGGUGGGGUAAUGGCCUACCAAGGCGGCGACGGGUAGCCGGCCUGAGAGGGUGGACGGCCACAUUGGGACUGAGGUACGGCCCAGACUCCUACGGGAGGCAGAAGUGGGGAAUAUUGCACAAUGGGCGCAAGCCUGAUGCAGCGACGCCGCGGGGGGGAUGACGGCCUUCGGGUUGUAAACGCCUUUCGCUAGGGACGAAGCUUUUUGUGACGGUACCUAGAUAAGAAGCACCGGCUAACUACGUG
Molecule: ribosomal RNA, 465 nt
Filed under: uncultured bacterium
Lineage: Bacteria
Description: partial 16S ribosomal RNA
Rfam family: Bacterial small subunit ribosomal RNA
Source: RNAcentral